RNAcentral lists this ribosomal RNA (460 nucleotides) under uncultured bacterium. Its description in RNAcentral is "partial 16S ribosomal RNA". It matches the Rfam family "Bacterial small subunit ribosomal RNA", at positions 338 to 795 of the family's 1533-position model. The record is from RNAcentral.
CCUACGGGUGGCAGCAGUGAGGAAUAUUGGUCAAUGGACGAGAGUCUGAACCAGCCAAGUAGCGUGAAGGAUGACUGCCCUAUGGGUUGUAAACUUCUUUUAUAUGGGAAUAAAAUGUUCCACGUGUGGGAUUUUGUAUGUACCAUAUGAAUAAGGAUCGGCUAACUCCGUGCCAGCAGCCGCGGUAAUCCGGAGGAUCCGAGCGUUAUCAGGAUUUAUUGGGUUUAAAGGGAGCGUAGGUGGAUUGUUAAGUCAGUUGUGAAAGUUUGCGGCUCAACCGUAAAAUUGUAGUUGAAACUGGCAGGCUUGAGUACAGUAGAGGUGGGCGGAAUUCGUGGUGUAGCGGUGAAAUGCUUAGAUAUCACGAAGAACUCCGAUUGCGAAGGCAGCUCACUGGACUGCAACUGACACUGAGGCUCGAAAGUGUGGGUAUCAAACAGGAUUAGAUACCCGGGUAGUC